GACCACUUCUCCAACCAACCGUCAACGCCAGCAUCAUCCACAUCCUCAAGUACCUCACAGGCUCAGCCAAGACUUAUGCCAAUGCUGUGCAGGCCUAUGUGCAUGUUAGGGACGUGGCUGUGGCCCACAUUCUGGUGUAUGAAACUCCAUCUGCCUCGGGAAGGUACCUUUGUGGUGAGAGUGUGCUUCACCGUGGAGACGUGGUAGAAAUCCUAGCCAAGUUCUUCCCAGAAUACCCAAUUCCCACCAAGUAAGUACAUCAUCGUCCUCAUCAAUUUUGUUUUCUUUAUUUCUUGUCUAAAUAAGAUAUUUUCUGAGCUACAUGUUAACAACCAAGAUGGGGAUGAGGGCGGGGGACAGUGAUGGUAUCCCUAUUUUGGUAUAAGCGAAAUGACAAAUAUGUUUGUUUAUGCAUACGUAGGCAUCUCUCAUAGUGAUUGAUUUAGUGUUUGCUUAUGGUCCAUUACUUAAUGUUUUUAUAGAAUAAAGAAAUUUUUGGCUAAUCAUUGGUUUGCUUAUACAUUUUAAACUAUUAUUUUAAAAUCUAUUUACAUACAAUUUUUUAUUAUUUAUGGAUUUCUAUUUUCAAACUAUUUUAAUGCAAUACACAUAUUUGUAUUUUUGAAAGUACUCUUGUUUUUUAAUGUUGUGGGAUUAAAUUAAUUAGUAUGUCAUAUAUUUACAGGUGCUCGGAUGAAGUCAAACCAAGAGUAAAACCAUACAAGUUGACAACCCAGAAGCUACAAGACUUGGGCGUGGAGUUCAUUCCAGUGAAACAGUGCCUAUAUGAAACUGUUAAGAGCUUGCAGGAGAAGGGCCACCUUCCAGUGCCUAAACCACAAGAAGAUUCCAUUAAAAUUCAAUCUUAAAUCUUGUAAGAAUAUUUGCAAUGCGUGACCUAUGUAUUUGCGGCGGAGAUAAACGUUGCAAUGGUAUUUUAAUAUCAGAUGACAAGUUUGUAAGAAUAUUUCAUAAAUAUUAUGUAUCACCUAACCUACAUGAAGUGACUUAUGUGAUCAAUUAAUUAUUUAAUUAGUUUAAUAAAUAUUAUUAUUAUAUAUUGGUCAAAUUAAGAGAAGUAAUUUCAUAGGAUAUGUGGAGAGAGAAGUUUUGACCUAGCCGCUCUCUCCCUGUGUAAAUCCUAAGGAAAAACUCAAUAGAGGGGGGGGAGGAAGAAGCCUCACUAUCCCACCUCCCCUUCAUCUCUUACUGUUGGGUUAGUGAAUAAGUCCACUGGGCAUUUUGGAUAAGAAUCCCCUUGUGGUGAUCUCUUCUGGGCCGUACUUAGAUUGAAGUUCCCCUUCACCCCUUUUGGGCUAUGUUCUCAAUCAAAUCAUUUUCCCAAAACCCGCUCUCUAACACUACUCAUGUUCUCUGAAUUUGGUUCUACAUUGUAUUUGAUGGUGGUUGGUACAAAUCACUCAAUUGUUCUUUGCCAUAGUUUUUUGUUUUCGUUUAUUUAUUCACUCUUAUCCUCAUGUUGAUCGUUGUGAAUCACAUUUUUCCCAAAUCUAUUAUGGAUGCGGUGUUAGGUGUGGCUGUGACGACGCUUCUUCAGGUAGUGGUGAUAGGGUUCAUGCAGGCUCAUGGGUCGCUUUAGAGUUUCAGUUAUAUUGGGUUUGUGUGUUUUGUCUGGGCUUAUGGUUCAUUAUGGUGAGGCUAAACUAGUGAAUUUCCCUUGAACUUGUACCCAAUUUUCAAGGGAAAGUGAACACGAAGACUCUUGGCCAACUGUUGCGUCUACCCAAGUGCAAGUAGUCACACGUAGUAAUAAUCUUGGAAGUCCAAGUAUUGUAUCCUCAAUGAGCAAGUAGGCAAAUAUCUGCACACAAAGAAAUAAUUAAACGUACCACAAUAAAAGUGACAAGCAAAAUGGAAAAGUAAUUUGAUUUGAUUGUUGUGGAAAUUGAGUCUAAAAAUGAAAUAUCAAUAAUGGAAAUGCUAAGGCAUCAAGGUUCAAUUCUUUAAAUAAAGUAUGUUUCAUGCUCUUUGAUCCAAAUUAUAACUCGAUUAAAAUCAUCAUUGAAAAACUUUAACAGGAAGAUAAAAAAAAAAUUAAAACCAAUUUAAUUUUUUCAAUGUUAUCUUUUAUUAAUGAUUGUUCAGAAAAUGGAAUUGCUUAAUAUCUACUCUUUUAAUUUAAAAGCAUGCUAAGUCAAUUCUUAACAAUGAGAAAAAUAUAAUUGAACUCAUGAAAAGAUAAUAGCACUUAACAUCAAUCAAAAUAAAAGGAUAUGAAAAUAUUGAACAACCAAAAAUAAAAGAAUUUAGCAAUUCGUACCGUAUAUUAGGUUAAAGAACAAUUCACAAACUUACUCAAAGAACAUUCCCUCUAGCCUUAGCUACAGUUUUAGCAACGCAUUACAAAGGAAAACAUAAAACUAAAUUUUGAAUGAAAUGGAUAAAGAAAUCUGUUGUCGGGGUCCCUUGCCAAAUAAGUUGAUGGGUGAUUUAUAGUGGUCAAUGAGGUAAGUGGGAAGUUAACAGCUUCGUGGUGGGUGAUGAAGGGUUUAAUUGAGGGAUUAAUUGGAUUAAACAUGGGUUGAUGGUGGAGAGUUAGUGGAAAAGAAAUAACGGUGACGUAAGUGGGCGUUAAAUGGCUAUGAAUGACAUGAAAUAGGCUCUUUAGCUUCAACGGUUUUGUCUUCGCUUCUCCCUCUUUACUUCUCUUUAUAAUCACAAUAAUCCCACAAUGAAUUCUUCAAUAAAAUCCGCCAGCAAUUCUCUUCACACCUAGCUUGAACUUGGACAAAUGUAUGUCUUCAUCUUUUGGCUUUCCAACUUCCUAUAGAAGAUAAAUUCACCUAAUAAGUUCACCAAAUUAAUAUAAAAAUUCAUAAAUCCGGUUGGUGAGAAUAAAUGUAAUAACAAGUGAAAUUAUAUUUAUUAAGCCAAAAUUAUAUCAUAAAGUCUCCAAAAUAAUAUUAAAAAUAUGUAAUUUGAGACUCUCAUCACCAACACAAAGUAUUACAUUGAAAAUCCUCAAGACUAAAACCACAAACUAAAGAUGGCAAAAGACUUCUUUGGUAGCCACCAGAUGGAUAGCGAGAAUGCCACAGUAGAAUGCGUUGUCGACGAUCUUUGAUAGAACCUUUGGUAAGAUGAACCCGGACUUGACAAAUAUCAUCAACAUAACACAAUCCCUCUCUCUUAAUAGCACGGCCAAUGAUCUCCUUCAUGAGAAUAUCUUGAAGACGACUGAAAAACGGGUACAUUAGUACAAAACAAUUAAGUUGCUCAGUGACUUGUCCAACAUACAAGAGGUUAUUGGAGAGAGAAGGCACAAGUAAGCAAUGAUGUAAGGAGAGAGAAGGAGUUAAUUCCAUUGUUCAUGUGCUUGUAACAAGACUUGAGUCACCGUUAGCAUUGGCCAAAUUGCUCAAGUGAGGUGAGGUACGAUACGUAAAAUUUCAGGAAUCAAAGGUCAUAUCACUACUAUAUUUUACACUUUGCGCGACUCUUUGUCGCGCAAAAUAAAUUGUAGUCUCACAAAUUUCAGUGCUAUAGAAACUUCGUCGCGCAGAAUCCAUCGUGCAGAAUCCAUCGCGCAAAGAUCGUGAAGAAAGAGGCGACACAUUGCACGAGGAAACACAUUGGUCACGCAAAGUUUUGGCGACAAAACACAUUGGUCGCGCAAAGUCUUAAAAAAAUUUAAAAAAAAUAAAAAAUUCCCUCGUCCCAUUUUUGUUACUCGCCAAAUUUUUAGAGUUUUGCGCGACGAAUACUAACGUCGCUCAAAUAUUUGAGCGACAAAAAAUUUUUUGUGUUUAAAAUUUUUUAAAUUAAAAUAAACUAAUUUAAUAGUUUGCGCUACAAAAUAUUUUGUCGCGCAAAGUUUUUGACUUUUUGUUUUAUUAUUUCUUUAAUAUUAAUUUAUUUAUAUUAAUUUAUUCGAAUUUUUACUUUUUAAAUUUAAUUUAAUUGUAUGAUUUUUUUAAAAUCACUUUAAUUUAAAUUGAUAUUAAUUUAAUUAUAUUAAUUUUUUCAAAUUUUUACUUUUUAAAUUUAAUUUAAUUGUAAGAUUUUUUUUUAGUUACUUUAAUUUAAAUUGACACAUUCAAAAUAAAAUUACAUAGGAAAAAUAGUGAUCAAAUUAUCCAAUAAAUAUAUAUAUAAUAUUCAAAAUGUACACAUAAAUUAACAAAGUACAAUAAUAAAAUCCUAACACAAGCGUAUUGUGGUGGUAGUGGCGGAUGAUAUGUUUUGAUAGCUUCCUAAUCCUCAACUUUAGCCAUCAAAGUCUCGAUGAUUACCUACAAAAAAACAAAUAUGGUCAAAUAACAACAACAACAAAAAAAGAAAAAAAAGGCAUAAUCUCCUCUAAAAUUGUUAUACCACAAAUCCAACCCAAACUCCAAUCUCUCCCCUUUACUCAACACCAAACCCCACACAAACUCAAAACUAACUCCAAAAACACAUAUUAAUGAAAAAAAUUUAAAAUUUGGAGAGAAUAUACCUUUUGGCAAGAUUGAGAGUGAGUGAGAAUGAGAGGGAGAAGUGAGUGUGAGAGAAUUAGAUAAGAUAGUGAUAGAGGGAUGAGAGAGUGAGAGAUAGUGAAAAGAUAGAUGAGAGAGUGAGUGAGAGUGAGAGAUAGUGAAGAGAGAGAUGAGAGAUUAAGUGAGAGGAGUGAGUGUGAGAGAAAGGGUGGGAUUUGGGGAGAGGGAAAGAGAGAGGAGAGGUAAGAGUAGAGAAAGACAUUGAGAAAAUGGUGGAGGAGUUAUUUCGGUUUUAAAAAUUGUAUCACUUUGCACGACGAAAAAUAUUGUUGGUCGCGCAAAGUUUUGCCCGACAAAAAAUAUUGGAAUAUUGGUCGCGCAAAGUUUUGCUCGACGACUAUAGGAAUAUUGGUCGUGCAAAGUCUAAAAAAAUUAUUUUAAAAAAAAAAUUUCCCGCAUCCCAUUUUUGGUACCCGCCAAAAUUUUUAAAUUUUUGCACGACGAAAAAUACAUAUUGGUCGCGCAAAGUCUAAAAAAAAUUAUAUAAAAAAAUUCACGCGUCCCAUUGGUACCCGCCCAAAUUUUUGAGCGACAAAAAAUAUAUAUUGGUCGCGCAAAGUUUUGAGCAACAAAAAAUAUUGGUCGCGCAAAGUGUAAAGUUUUUUUUUUUAUUUUAAAAACCCGCGUCCCAUUUUUGGUACUCGCCCAAAUUUUUUGAGUUUUGCACGACGAACUGUUGGUCUCGCAAACUUUUGAGAGACGAAAAAUUGGUUCGUAGUACAAUAUUUAUAAAAAUAAUUGUUACGAAUAAUAAAAAAUAAAAAAAAAUUAUUUUAUGAUUUAAAAUAUAAUUAAGGUGAAAGCUACUUAAUAAAUGUAUAUACUAUUCAAUUUCUUAAGUGUUAUACGUACAAAAUAAAUUAAUUUAAAGCUACUUAAUAAAUAUAUAUAUAUAGACACACACCAUUCAACGAUCCAACCGUAAGACUUGUUUGUAUAUACUUCAAGAUCGUAUACCCCAAAAAUCGUAAAAAAUAAACAUUCAGAGAUCUAGUAACGGGACAAAACUUUUCGAUGGUUAUAAAUGAAAAAUCACAAUUUAACGGUAAUUUUAACUCCGAUUUUGAUGAUUUUUUUUACAGCUACACUCCUUGACCCUAUAUGAAUACAAUGACUGAAUUUGAUCUUCAAUUUAAAAUAUUUACACUAGUGGAUACCACAAAAUCUUAUAUUAUAUUUAAAGAAAGUAUAAAUAAACUCUUAAUUGUUAGUGAAUAUUUUGUUUUGAUGGCAUAUGCAUUCUACGAAACUAGUUUCAACGAUCCAACCGUCAAACUUGUUUGUUUAUACUUCGAGAUCAUAUACGCCAAAAAUCAGAAAAAAGAAACAUUCAUAGAUCAAAUAACAGGACAAAACUUUUCGACGGUUAUAAAUGAAAAAUCAUGAUUUAACGGUUAUUUUAACUCCGAUUUUGAUGAUUUUUUACAGCUACACUCCUUGACCCUAUAUGAAUACAAUGACUGAAUUUGAUCUUCAAUUUAAAAUAUUUACACUAGUGGAUACCACAAAAUCUUAUGUUAUAUUUAACGAAAGUAUAAAUAAACUCUUAAUUCUUAGUGAAUAUAUUGUUUUGAUGGCAUACGCAUUCUACGAAACUAGUUUCAACAAUCCAAUCGUCAAACUUGAUUGUUUAUACUUCGAGAUCAUAUACACCAAAAAUCGGAAAAAAUAAACAUUCAAAGAUCAAGUAACGGGACAAAACUUUUCGACGGUUAUAAAUGAAAAAUCAUGAUUUAACGGUUAUUUUAACUCCGAUUUUGAUGAUUUUUUACAGCUACACUCCUUGACCCUAUAUGAAUACAAUGAAUGAAUUUGAUCUUCAAUUUAAAAUAUUUACACUAGUUGAUACCACAAAAUCUUAUGUUAUAUUUAACGAAAGUAUAAAUAAACUCUUAAUUGUUAGUGAAUAUAUUGUUUUGAUGGCAUACACAUUCUACGAAACUAGUUUCAACAAUCCAACCAUCAAACUUGUUUGUUUAUACUUCGAGAUCAUAUACGCUAAAAAUCGGAAAAAAUAAACAUUCAGAGAUCAAGUAACGGGACAAAACUUUUCGACGGUUAUAAAUGAAAAAUCAUGGUUAUUUUAACUCCGAUUUUGAUGAUUUUUUACAGCUACACUCCUUGACCCUAUAUGAAUACAAUGACUGAAUUUGAUCUUCAAUUUAAAAUAUUUACACUAGUGGAUACCACAAAAUGUUAUGUUAUAUUUAACGAAAGUAUAAAUAAACUCUUAAUUGUUAGUGAAUAUAUUGUUUUGAUGGCAUAUGCAUUCAACAAAACUAGUUUCAACGAUCCAAUCGUCAAACUUGUUUGUUUAUACUACGAGAUCAUAUACGCCAAAAAUCGGAAAAAAUAAACAUUCAGAGAUCAAGUAAUGGGACAAAACUUUUCGACGGUUAUAAUGAAAAAUCACGAUUUAACGGUUAUUUUAACUCUGAUUUUGAUGAUUUUUUACAACUACACUCCUUGACCCUAUAUGAAUACAAUGAACUAAUUCGAUCGUCAAUUUAAAAUAUAUAUUUUCUAAUAAAAAUCCAAUCUGAACAACAAUAAUAUAUUUUUCUAACAAAAAUCCGAUCCAAUCUAAAAUAAUAAAUUUAAAGCUACUUAAUAAAUAUAUAUAUACCAUUUUAUUUCUUAAAUGUUAUGCAUACAAAAUAAAAAACAAAAAUAAAUUGGUUUAGGCGACGAAAUGUUUGGAUUACGUCAUGCAAAGAUUUUAAAAAAUAAUUUUUUAAUUUUAUUUAUUUUUAUAAGGACUUUGUGCGACGAAGUUUACUGUUUCGUCGCACAAAGUCACUUUGAGCAACGAAUUAUUUUUUGUCGCGCAAAAUUUGGUCGCGCAAGACUUUGAGCGACGAUGUAUUGUCGUCGCGUGAAGUGACUUUGCGUGAUGAAUUAUUUUUCAUCGCGCAAGCCUUUAAGCGACGAAGUUUCGAGUUUCAUCGCCCAAAGUGACUUUAAGUGACGAAUUGUUUUUCAUCGCCCAAAAUUUGGUCGCGCAAGGGGUUUUUUUUACUAGUGUAUGAUCAGUGGCAACAAAGUCAAUUAACCUGUCAAAAUCUGAAUGUAACCUGGAAGAGUUUAAGGUUCAACUAUUGUUACCUUGGGAGUUACUUCGAGAACUCAUACUUCCCUGAGUUGGAAAAGUUCUUUAUUUACAAGAGCAUAAGUCUACUCAAUUAUCGACAAGCUAUUCACCCCUUAUGUCUUAUUAAAACCGUAUACUAUUGACACCAUCUACUAUGGUUUGUGUCAUUCUAAUAUUCUACAAGAUUCUUGUAAAUAUUGCAUUACCUGUUUUGUUAGGAUUAGUUUUUAUAUUUUCCUUGGGUAAGAAGGCAUUGUACACUAUAUAUACACCUCAUUUGAGAGAAGAAAUAUAUCUCAUAAAUUUACCAUAUAUCCUUAUAUUUGACUUGGUAUCAGAGCUAGGUUAUAUUUGCCCUAGAAUAGCCGAACCCCCUUACUGCUACAAAUUUUUUAUUUUUUGCCUAUUAUUUUGUUUUAAUUCCUUGUGGUGUUCUUUGUCUCCAUGAGGGAAUGCAGGAUUUGUUUGAUGAAGAUGAACAAUCCAAUGAGGUACCACUAAUUACCUCAAGGGGUUCUGGUCAGCCUAUGUCAAUUAUCAAUGUUCAUCAUGAUUCUUCUGCUGCUCCUACAAUUGUCCUACAAUUGUCAAAUUGAAUGGAACAAGUUAUUCAGUAUGGUCCCAACUGCUUGAGCUACAUGUUGAAGAGAAAAUAUGGGUAUCUGACAGGCGCUUCUGCUGCACCAGCUCUCGUAGCCUCCAAUUACAAUAAGUGGUAUGCUAAAAAUGCAAUUGUGAAGGGAUGGUUGAUUCAAUCUAUGGAGCCUAAUAUUAUGCAAAUUUUCCUUCCCUACAAAACUGCCAAAGAUGCAUGGGAGAAUGUGAAAAAAAAAAUACUAUGAUGGCCAAGAUCAGUCAUAGAUUUAAGAGUUAACUUGUUGGGCAUUCAAGGAGAAAAAGUAUGGGCGACAACUUGUCACAUACUAGGUAGAAUUGCAAAGUAUGUGGCACGAGAUUGAUUAUUGAUGACCAAAUAAAUUUACUAAUUCAGCAGAUAUUUUGCUUCGUCACUAGGAGAUUGAGAUCGAGAGGGUUUAUGUAUUUUUAGUUGGAUUAGAUGAUGUGUUUGACAGAGUUUGUGGCAAUAUUCUUGGCAUGGAUCCGUUUUUGAAUUUGGAGAAAGCUUUUUCAUGUGUCGGACGAGAAGACUAGCGGCGAUCCACCAUGAUGGUGCCACCAACCUCGGUGAACACUGGAGUUGUUAUGGCAGCAAGGAACUCCAGGCCUGCCUCUUCCUACAAUCCUGCCAAUUCUACAAUUAAUGGACCUACAAAGCACUCUAUGCCUGCCUCUGCCUACAAACAUGCAGGUUCUACAACUAACAGACCUGCAGGUUCUACAAGACCCAGUGGUCUGCAACGAGUUAAACCUCAGAAUUGUGAAAGGUGUACUCAUUGUAACAACACGAAUCACUUUGUAACUGAUUGCUUUAAAUUACAUGGCUAUCCAGAAUGGUGAGAUGAAUUCAAGGAGCAUAACAAGGCCAAAGCAGCCGCUGAACGAUACGCACAAGGCAAGGUCGCACUCUGCAUAGGAUCUCCCGACCCUUAUGUCCCACAAGCUUCCCCUAUGCCAUCCGUCUCCUCCUCCACUGUUCCUCCAGGUUUUGCCGCCCUCCCUACAGGUGAUUCAGUCACUUCUUCCAAUACCUCAGGUAGUGCUUUUGUUGGCUUAGAGCAUCAACAAUGGGCUCCCUAAACCACCUCCUUAGACAAAUUUUAGGGAGGAAUUGUAAAAAUACAACUCCAACCAUGCUCCCUAUCCACCUCCUAAAAUAGGGAGACCUCUAGGAGCUCCUAAAUCUGAGGAGAGAGAAAGGAGUGGUUCCCUAUAAUUUAAUGCAGCUUUAUUUAAUGAGUAUAUCAAACCUUUAUUUAAUGCUAACUAUUUUUUAUUUUAUUUUUUAAUAGAGAUGGAUCAAUCAAAAAAGAGUUAUAGCAUUUAUGACUCCCUAAACUAGAGAGCACGAUUGAAGUUUAAAUUUUAUAGAGAGCUUCUAAAACAACUUUUAUAUGUUUUUAGCUAAAAUUUAACUAAAAAAUAGAGAGCAUGAUUGUGGAUGAUCUUAGAUAUUAGUUCUGGUUGGAUUAUUGAUUCAGGUGCUUCAAAUCACAUGACAUUUGACCCGACAAAUUUGAAGACUCAGACUACUCCUAGCCUUACUAGUAUGGCAAAUGCGAAUGGCCAAUCCUACCCUGUGAUUAGGGUAGGCACUGUUGAUCUUUCUCCAAAUUUAACUUUGGAACAUGUUCUUCUUGUUCCUUCUUUAUCUCAGAAUUUAUUAUUUGUUGGACAAGUGACUGAACAAGUAGAUUGUUUUGUAUUAAUCUAUCCCUUGUUUUGCCUUCUUCAGGAUAUUUGAACCCAAGAAAUAAUUGGGCGUGGUACUAAGAGAGGGGGACUAUAUUAUGUGGAUAAUGUUUGCACGAGGGAGGCUCUUAUUGCUCACAACUCAGCUGCAGAGAAGAAGAAAAAAAAAUUUGGUUAUGGCAUUGGCGUUUAGGACAUGCUUCUUUUGGUUAUUUAAAACAUUUAUUUCCAACUUUAUUUUUGGAUUUGGAUAUUUCCAGUCUUCAGUGUGAAACUUGUAUUCUUGUCAAGAGUCACCGUGUUUCAUACCCUAUUAGUUUCAAUAAGAAUGAUAAACCUUUUGCUCUUAUUAAUUCUGAUGUAUGGGGUCCUUCCCCGGUAUCUACAAUCUCUGUAAUUAGAUGGUUUGUGACUUUUGUUGAUGAUUAUACGAGAAUAACAUGGAUAUAUUUUAUGAAACAUAAGAGUGAGGCUUUUGGUCUCUUUGAGCAAUUCUUCUCCAUGAAACUACAUAUCCCUAUACCCUUCAACAAAAUGGGGUUGCUGAACGAAAAAACUGCCAUAUUCUUGAGACGGCCAUGAGUAUUUUGAUACAAGCACAUAUGCCUAAGAUGUUUUGGGGUAAUGCUAUAUUAUAUGCAAUGUAUUUAUUAAAUCGUAUGCCCUCUUCUUUCCAUGGAUACAAGACACCACUGGAUGUUUUGAAUUCGACACAUCCCCUACCGUCAGUCCUAACUCUCCAUUCCUACAUUUUUUGUUGUAUAGCCUACUUUCACAUCCUUAAACACCUCCGGUCUAAAUUGGAUCCAUGUGCUCUUAAAUGUGUGUUUGUGGGUUUCUCCCCAUAUUCCAAAGGAUAUCGAUGCUACCUUCCUCCGACAAAGCUCACGUAUGUCACAAUGGAUGUCACUUUCUUAGAGUUGUCUAAAUUGGACAAUUAUGUUACUUGAUAUUACCAUAGAAAGAGAAGCAGUGAUUUGCAAUGAAAAAGAGAAUGCAGUCACUUCAGUUAAGGACCUGGCGCCACGUCUUGCUAACCCCACUUUGUUCCUUGCAACUCCACAUAUCGCAUAUAAUUGUUCUCCCUCUUCUACACCAAUAGUACAUGUCCAAAUUCCUAAGGCUUCGGAUAACCCUGAGGUAAGUACAAAAGCUUUGAUUAAUACUGGCAAUUUAAUUACAAAUGAUAUUGAUAGUGUUGCAAAAAAAGGUAUCAAUUGCCUCCCAUACGUAAAAGAAGAAUUCCACCGGAUCGUUUUUCACCUAAAAAUUCAAAGAAGUCGAACUACUCAAUUGCAAACUAUGUCUCUACUCAUCGAUUAUCUGAAGCAUAUGCGGUUUUUGCUAAUCAGAUGACUGCUGAAUUUAUUCCAUCAAACUUGGGAUUUAGUUUCAUUGCCACAAGGAAAACGACGAGUUGGAUGCAGAUGGAUUUUUACAAUUAAUACACAAGGUAGAUGGUACCAUUGAUAGAUACAAGGUGAGAUUGGUUGCCAAAGGAUAUACUCAGAUAUAUGGUGUUGAUUAUCAGGAAACUUUUGCACUAGUUGAAAAAAUGAACACAGUUCGUGUUCUAAUAUCACUUGCAGCAAAUUUAGAUUGGCCACUCUAACAAUUUGAUGUGAAAAAUGCUUUCCCACAUGGAGAAUUGAAGGAAGAAGUUUAUAUGAGCCUACCUCCAGGAUUUGAUGUAUCGGAAAAUCCAAAUUUGGUGUGCAAGUUGAGGAAGUUACUCUAUGGGUCGAAGCAGUCUCCUAAAGCUUGGUUUGGCAAAUUCAGUUGUGCCAUGAAGAAAUAUGGUUAUCGUCAAAGCAAUGCAGAUCAUACUUUGUUUCUGAAGAGGAGGAAGGGGAAGGUCACUGUUUUAAUUAUAUAUGUUGGUGAUAUGAUAAUAACAGGUGAUGAUACAGAAGAGAUUGAUAAAUUAAAACAUUAUUUAUCAACUGAGUUUGAGAUGAACGAUCUUGGAGGGCUAAAAUAUUUUUUGGGAAUUGAAGUGACUAGAUCUCAACAGGGUAUUUUCUUGUCACGGAGAAAAUAUGUGUUAGAUUUAUUGAAUGAAAUUGGGAUGCUUUGGUGUAAACCUGCUGAUACUCUUAUUGUGCAGACCCAUAAUCUUGAGAUUCUUCUAGAUCAAGUUCCAACUAAUUAAUAAAGACAGGUACCAGAGGUUAGUUGGUAGACUUAUUUAUAUAUCUCACACCAGGCCAGAUAUUGCUUAUGCUAUUAGUGUUGUGAGUCAAUUUAUGCAUUCUCCUAGUGAAGUUCAUAUGGAAGCAGUUAUGCGAAUUUUACAGUAUCUGAACUCCGCUCCUGGCAAAAGGCUGAUAUUCUCAAAACAUGGACAUUUGGAAAUUGAAGGUUUUACAGAUGCCGAUUGGCCAGGAAAUCAAACUGAUAAGCAUUCAACAUCAGGUUAUUUUACAUUUGUGGGUGGUAACCUUGUUACUUGGCGAAGCAAGAAGCAGAAGGUUUGUUCUUUGUCUAGUGUGGAAGCUGAGUAUCGAAGCAUGGUUCAUGGCAUAUGUGAGAUGUUGUGGAUUCGGAAAUUAUUGAAGGAAUUGGGCUUCGUGGCUAAAGAUGCCACGAAAUUGUAUUGAGAUAAUCAAGCUACAAUCGACAUAGCUAAUAAUCCAGUCCAACAUGAUCGUACUAAACAUGUGGAGAUUGACAGAUAAUUUAUUAAUGAAAAAUUGGAAAGCAAUGUGAUUAGUUUGCCACAUGUGAAAUCAGAUAAACAACUCGCAGAUGUUUUGACUAAAGCAGUGUCUAGCCAAGUAUUUAGUGACUCACUUGACAAGUGGGGCAUGGGUGACAUCUAUGCACCAACUUGAGGGGGAGUGUUAGUAUGAAAAUUGUAUUGUCAUUUCCUAGACUCUAGCAUAGGUUGGGAAUCAGUGUGGGAACAUGUUUUACUGGAAGCUUUGGCGCAACACAUUCAUUCUGGAUCUUUGAAGUAUGACGUGAUCGAUAUGAGAAACUGAGUUCAGGUAAAUCAUGACAUAAUCAUGCAUUCAUUAUAGGAUUCCUAGUUGGAGUUAUUUUCAAUCAAGUAUUUUCAUGUUAAUCCUAUUUUUAAUAGGAUUAGAUUUUAUAUCUUGAGAUUAUUUUCCUAAUUAAACUCUAUUUUGAUUUAAGUUAAAAGAUUAUGUUUUCAUCAUUUUGGUCUUGGAAAGUUGUUUCAAUUAAUAUUCUAUUUGGCUUCGUUGUUUACAUGUUGAUAUACAUUGUUUCAUUGGAUAACAAUCGAUGGUUGGAAAACCAUCUUUUAUACUAUAGAACAUGAUGAAACCAUAUAGGAUUCCAAGACUGUCAAAUUGAAUGCAUGACAAGACUUUGAGUUGGGGCUAUGGGCCUUCACGUGAUUGUGAAGAAUAGGUUUUGUAUAAAUCAUUGUGUGCAUCUCUUUUAUCAUAUAUAGCUUUCCCAUAUUUUGUUCGUGUAGAAAGCUACUGUGCAUAUAUUUGAGAUAAAUCAUCAAAGUGUUCCAUGUUUACUUGGUGAUUUAUCAAACACUUUAAUCAUUCAUAUUGCAUUCAUAUGCAUGUUGGUGACUCAUACGGUUGAGGGCACCAAGACCGUGGUGGCGGUUUUCCUCCGGCGAGCUUGAAGUAAUCAUGGCCAGUAUUGCGUUCAACAUAAGGAGUGUCGAAGAUCAUCCUGUGACAGAAGUUGAGUUACGAAGAAGUCAGUAAACAUUAUCUAGAAUGAGUCUAGGAUAAGUGUGUAAGUACUUCUUGGAAUCAUCAUUCUAUAGUGGAUUUGAGUUGGACUGAGGAGUCUCGUGGAUUUUCCCCAGAGGUGGGAUUUUACCACGUAAAAUAAUUCUCUGCAUGUUCUUUUAUUUUAUGCUCAGCACGUUUCAGAAUUGAUAAGCCAUAUCAAUCAUGUUACCGAAGUUUAUUUUUACUUAUUUGAUUAUAAUCUUAAAUUGGCCUAUUCACCCUCCUCUAGGCAUUUUUAGUCAUCUACAGGUAUUAUCAGUGAGUGCUGGCGUUAGUCUUAUUUUAGGUAAGAAAUUAAUAUAAGGAUUCUUGUAAAUAUUGUAUUACCUGUUCUGUUAGGAUUAGUUUUUAUCUUUUCCUUGGGUAAGAAGGCAUUAUACACUAUAUAUACACCUCCUUUGAGAGAAGAAAUAUAUCUCAUAAAUUUACCAUAUAACUUAUAUUUGACUCUUUGCUCAUCUAUUCUAGCAUAGUUUAGAACCUGUUAACAAGUAUUGUGCCCUAUUUGUUCAUAUUGUUUCAUUUGGCUUCUAUUUUUAUGAAUUUUUCUGUUCUUCGUUUCUCUUAAUAGUUUGCAACUUGUUCUUAUUAGUAAUAUCCUUUGUUUUGAGGGUGAUCAUGAGCAUGAACUUUGACAUACAGAAUGUCGAGCAACAGCAGCAGUAGUGACGUUCGAUAUAUGCUAACAUUGUAGGAAAAAAUGUGACGGUGCUGGUUUGGAAUUUAGAAUAUCCAGAUCAGCCGACAAUUACAAUCAUUCUUAUUGGGCAUGCACUAAGUGUGGACAGUUCAGUGAGUGGGUAAAUGGAGCUGAGAUAAAUACAAUAGGUUGAUGCAGGAUCGUGAGAAAUUAUUAUUUUCAGCAUUUAACGAUAUGUCUACCAAACUUGAAGUAAUUGGUGAAGUUGUUCGAAGGUGCUUGAAGAUAAACAAGAGUCUUCAGUGUAGUCUUUGUACUAUUUUUUCCAUUGUAAUGGCAAUAUUUGUGUUAAUAUGUGUCCUUGUAAUUUCACAUAAAAAAAAAAGAGAAGGAAAAAUGCUUGCCUUGCUCUUUGAACAAUAUUACGUAUGUAUGGCUUCAUAUCUCAUGUUUCUGUUUUUCCUCUAUCCUUCAAUGUCCCUGUCUGUUCUACCCCGGAAAUUCAUCCGCAGUGGCCUGGUGUUGGUCUUGGGAUUGUUUUCGUGUUGUUUGCGUAGGCAUGCCACUGUUGGUAGCGAAAGCUCCAACAGAAAGUGACUGAAAAAUGUAAAAUGCACUCCAAUAUCGACUCUAAUCAAUCGAUAGUGAGUUGGGUGGGGAACUGACCCAAUAUAGGUUCUUUUAUAUGCCUCAAUGAAGAGGAUUUCAAUAUUUUUCUAGUGCAAAGACAAAAGUUUUUUUUUUUUUUUUUAUAUAUAAAAAAAACAGAAAUAAAAAUGAGAAACAUGAUAUGGAACUGAAGAUUUCUCGAUUCAAUUCAUUAUCAAUACAAACUCAAAGUAAAUGACAGAUAAACUGAGGAUUUGUCUACUCAGUUCAUUGUAGCUAUAGACUUGAAAAGUAAAUGACAGUAAUGAAAAUGAUGGAUGUUCAUAUGAAGAUUUCUCUAUUCAUAUAAACAAUGGAAUAAAAGUAAACAACAUAGCUUGAAAAUUUCUCUAUUCAGACUUUAUUUAUAGAGAAAAUGAAGUGGGUUGAGUGUUGGGCCCAACAGCCAAUGAGACGUACCCACUUGCCAUUGAUUUUGGUGGGUGGGUUGCUGAAAAAGCAAACAAAAUUAGAAGAGUACUGUUAUUUCUAUCCACAUGUCCUAUUUUUCCACCCACUUUAUCUUCCCACCCACCAUAUAAAUUUUAAAAAAACACAAUCCUAUUUUUCCACCCACCAAUAUUCCUAAAAUACCUUUUUAAUUAUUACCUCAUCCCAUCUCUCCUUUAUUCUCUCUGCUCAUGUCUUCUCUCUCUCUCUCUCUCUCUCAUUUUUGCUCUAUCUUAUUUUCCAUCUCUCACACUCCAUCUCUCUCUGUCUCUCAUGUUUACUAUAAAACUAAAAAUGUUUUUUACUAUAAUUUUUAUUUUUAUUUUUGUAAAUAUGGAUUCUGUGAAUAUAAUCAUAUUUAUGCUCUUACCUUUUCAUGAAAAUCAUUCUCUUCAACAUUCAUUCUCUUGUUGUUUUCUUCUUCAUAAACAAUUUGAUUGAAUGAAUAGAAAAGAGAAGAAAAUUAUUUGAGAAUUGAGUUCUGAGCACUGAAAAGCCUUCUUCACCUUCUCAUGAGCAAGGAGUUGUAUUCUUGUUUUUUUUUUUCUUUCUGUCAAACGAUAGGGUUGGUGAAGCUAUGUCUUUUUUUUUUUCCUCUUUCUUUUUCCUUAAGUCCUUUUAAGUCAUUUUACAAUAGGGUUAAAUUUGUCUUUAAAAGUUUAAAGAUAAGGUGGGUGGGAAAAUAGGACAAGUGGGUGAAAAUAACAACAUUCAAUUAGAAAAGUUGCUUUGGUGAAGCUCCCUAGGUAAUUCAAAAUAUCUUCCAAGCAAAACUUGUUUCCCUCCAUCAGCAAGCUUAAAUCAUUCAUUUUUAAAAAAAAAAAAAAAUAAGCUCAAGCCUCCAUGCUGACUCAUGCACCUCCAUUAACUUAACAAAAGUUGGCCAGCAUAUGCCCUUGCUUCUUCUUUGAUCCUGCUUUGAUGCGUGACGAUUCCAGCAUGCUAUAUUUAUCCAAAUGCUACUAAAUUUUAGUAUGUUGUUCUAUACAUAUAGAGGAACAAUGUUUGUGAAGAACUCGAAUCCAUUUGAGACUGGAAAAUACGAUUUGGCAUGGCUCAAACUGACUAGUUGUCAGAGACAGUUCCUUCGAGUAGACUUCAUUGUUUAAUUCACUGAGUAUUCUACUCUUAUCCAAAUGACGCUACAUUUGGACAAAAUAUAGUAGUCACGCAUUUGAACCACUUUCAUGAAGAACAGAAAUUCAUUUGAGCAUUGAAAACUGCUCAUCGGAUUGGAAGUUCGGCAUAUUGGGUGGGAAAACAUGUUUCAGUAUUUCAUGCCCUGAAGAGUCAGUACAUAUCCCAACGCUGUAAAUUUGGGAUAUAUUGGAAACAUCCAAAUGAACAACUUUUAUGAAGAAAGAACUUCAUUUGAGCAUUGGAUGUUGCUCAUCGGGCUGGAUUCAUCUGACUGCUGCUAAAAUUGCAUGUAUGAGUGAGAAAGUAUGUGCAUCUACAAAGUUAUUGCCAAAUUCAGGGCUGAAAAAAUGCAUGUGGAACCUUCUAAAAUUCACACUGGUCACCAAGCAAAUGGGCCUUUUAUAGUCAAACCCCGAAAAGUUUUUCUUCAAUUAAGCAGUAUAAAAAAUGUAAGGGGGGAUGAAAUAAAAUAAUGAAUUCAAUAGAUAAAAGAGAGCAACAAAAAGAGGAUCGCUAUCAUCAAGCGAGAAGAAUCAAAACUAAAAACCAUGGAAUGGGCAAAUGGUAGUUUCUGAAGAAGUUGUCCCAAAACUGAACACUGUCAGUACUGUCUGCACUUACAAGGUUCCCACACCUGGAGAAAAGAAACAAGUUGAUUUUCAGAAAAGGUAGUUCAGGACCUAAACACCAAUGGAUGCAGACCAACUGAAAAAUCAAUUUCAUAAGCUACAGAAAAUAAUAACGUCACAGCUCAAUUCUACCUUAACCUCCGAGUCCAACUGUAAUCCUGUAGAUUUCAUGCCCCAGUUUAGCAUCCCAGUAUCUUAUAAUCCUGCCCAAUGAAAAAGAAAAAACUAAGAAAGCAACAUGAUGAAAUAAAAGAAGAUCGAGAUGACCAAAACGCCAUAGCCAUGGGAAAAAUAGGGCAGUGUCAGUGGCGUCACUUACCUGACCUUGUUAUUCACCAAAUCAUCCAACUCCUUCCAACUAGAGCUGCCGUGCGCAUGAGUUUUCUUUCCAAGGGGUAGACGUGUGGUCUUCGGUCCCGGUAUUAGAUUUUGACUAGGGCGCGCAAGACAGCCUUGAUGAUCACCCCAGUUCAAAGUUCAUCAACUUGGUGGAAAGGUGUUUGGAAUUUCAUAAAGGAAGAUAAGGUCGACUUAGAUAAAGACGAUAUUGCCUUUUCUAGAGCUAAUGGGUAUUUUCCAGUAGCGCUUCUUUCCUUGUAGACAAGCUUAUUUGGAGCAAAAUUAUAUUUUUGAUACUUUUUUUUUUAGAAUCUUUUGCUCAUUGUAGACAUUUCCUCGCAAGGAGUUGCAACCCUCCACAACUCUAUCAGUGUGCCCACAAGUUGCUUGAUCUAAUGCCUCAAAGAGGCUUUUAUUUAUUUAUUUAUUAUUAUUACUAUUUUAUGCGUAGCUGCUGCGCAUACAACUCACAUAGCUAAAUAUUUUUUUCUCAUUCCCUGUCCCAAAACGUUUGGGACUAGGACAAAGCAAAAAAAGAAAGAAGAAGCCUUACCAACAAUCUAGAGGAAACGUUGAUAAGGUGCAAGGUAUUUUUUUCACUCCACAAUUUUGGUCCAAGCUUUGACAAAAACUAGGAGUAGUCAUGGGGGUUGGGUUAGGAGUUUUCAGUAUGUUUCUUUAUUUUGUAUUUCUGGUGCUAUCUGUUUUGCAUUAGGUGUUGGUGGUUUUGGAUGUAGCUUCUAGCCUCUGCUUAUGCUUUUGUAUUUCUAUUGUUGGUUUCUCAGUUGUGUUGUGUUUCUUUAACGUAUUCAUUCUGGCCAUGUGUGGCUGUGUGGGGAGUUACAUUGUUGAUGUCGGUGUACUCUCCCUGGACUAACCUUUGAUGGUUACUGUGCCUCCAUCUUUGUAUUAACCCUAAAAAUUGGGUAUCUGUAUCCUAAAAAUUGGGUAUAUUCCUUCAGGUUCUGUAUUUAGGUGACUGAUGUGGGUGACAGAGUUCAAGCUUGGAUAGAAAUAUAAGUAAAAUCAUGUAAUUGCAAUCUAUUAAAAUCAUAAGUAAAAUCCUAAGUGAAUUAAAAAUCAUAAGUAAAAUCAUGUAAUUGCAAUCUAUUAAAAUCAUGAGUAAAAUCAUAUAAUUACAAAUCCGGCUGAAAUCCAUUACAUUAAAAUCAUGUAAUUACAAUAUAUUAAAAUCUCAUUAGAUAAACUCACGCUUCACAUGAGAUACGCUAAAGACUAUGAAACUAGAGUAAAUAAAUAGUGGGAUUUUGCAGUUGAGAGAAGCGUCGAAUAGUUCAGUAUGAACCUUACUAAUUAAAGUUUUGUUAGACUACUACUCCUUAGCCUUGGAGACCCUUUUUUUUUUUUAAAAUGAAAAAUCGUAACUAGCUUAAAUUUGGAGUAUGUGACAUGCAGCAAUCUUUUACAUACUGUAGAGAAAAUCGGCGCCAGAAGAGUAUUAUCUCGUGUGAAUCCCGCAACCUGAAAUAUAUCUAUGCUGAGCUCCUCCUAAAUAACUUCAUACUGUGUGGAUACCAAUAUGGUGUGAAGGCCAAAAUCAAUGAACCAGGUCUAAUUUCCUUAUCUUUUAAAAUUUGAUUGCUGGGCCUACAUUCAGACUCUACACAAGAAGCAUUUCCCUAAUCUCAGAGAUUAUCUUCUAAAAUUUGAUUGCUCCGAACAACUAGCCUAUUUAUUUAUGAUGCUGCGGUACUACCAUACUUACUGCUUGAUAUAUUUUGAUCCCUUUCUCAGUUUCUGCCAUUAAUUCUUACCAGUUCACCUUUCUUUUUUCUUGUGCAUGGACGACAGUGUAGGUUUUCAUCUUUCCAGAAACUUUGAGAAAGGCCCUCCUCCCUCCACCAUUGCCUAGACUCAGACAUCUUCAGGUCUUCAUGCUCACUUCUCCAACAGAGGCUACAGGUUCUGCAUUGUUGAACUCUUUACUUUGGAUGGCAACUUCUGCUAAGAUUAGUUCUAACAUAAUUUAAUUGGAAGGGGAUUGUGAAAUAGUUUGAAUGAAAGUUAAAUUUGUUUAGAUGCUUCUCUUGUUUCUAACUAGUUUCUUGGAAUGCAGAGAAAGUGUCUAUUCGGAAUUUCAGUUUGCUUUGCGUGCCAAUUUGAAUGCUAUCUACAUUCUCUCUUACCUUCUUCUUGUAGGGGCUUUUUUCUUCCGGCAGCUACAAAUGGGCUGGGCUGCCGUAAGGAGCGAACUGAAGAAAUCAUCCCCUAUGCUUGAGUUCAGAAAUCAAGCCCCAAGAAUGAUUCGAAAGGAUAGAGAAGCUUUAGGAAACACCUUGGUUACCUUCACCAACAAAAAUGACAACAACUUACAGAUAAAUUUUCUAGCUUAACAUUAGAGGCUUGUGGCAUAGGAGCAAAAUUGUCAUGAGUUUAGCACUGAAGAGAAAACUAAGUGUUCCUGGGGGAAAAGGGGUAUUAAGGUAGGAGAUGAAGAGUUUGCAGAGAGGUUUGGCUGAGAAUAAGGAAAAAGGAAGGAAUGAGUGGCUUAAGUAUUAUUUCCGGUAGCUUGACAGUGACUCUGUCAAAUGCUAGAGCAGCCUACUAGAAAGGGGAAAAAUGGGGAGGAGGAUGAACAGAGCACAAAUUUGUUGGGUGUUGCAGGUGAGAGAGGAAGCUUGCUCUCUGAAAUGUGGGUUAUCUUUGGUUGGGUAGAAGAAGCCCCUUUUAUAGCCGCUGGAAGCCAUCUUAUUCCACGAAACCCUAAUGGUUUCUAUCUAAUUUGGCCAAGCUUUUUCCUUCCUUUCUCCUCCCCUUCUUUGACUUAUCUUAUUCUAGCAAAAUCUUCUCUGUCCAAUCUCACAAAAUCAGGAAUUUUUGGGAGCUCAAUGCUCUUUCCCACAACUGCCUCUAUUUCCAGCCAUCUCCUUCUUUUCUUUUCUUCCUUCUUCCAUGGCUAGGUCUGAUAAGGGAAAGAGAAUGGGUAUGCAUACAGUUCAAAAGUCGAUUCCUCUCCUAGCAGGCUGCGUGGUCCCUUGGGUGUCUUUUGCUUGAAACUUGCUCAUUUCCCAUGUGCUGAAACCUCCCAGCAGCUUUGUAUAAUGGACCUUCAGACUUCCCCCUCGUGGCUUUUGUUUUACCAGACAAGUGAUGGGGCUUUGCAGCCUGCUAGGAGAGUAAGUGCCAAGUUGUGAUUUACCAAGUAAGUGGGCUAUCCUUAUCAAGCAUUAGGCUUUUUGGUUGAGUUAAUGGGCUAUUUUUCUCUUUGUACUCACCCACAUGUUUGGGCCUAAGAAAUGGGCUUGAGUUCCGAGUCUCCUAAGCAAUUCGGGACUUCCAUUUCUCGGCCCAUCAAUGGGCCUCAUGACAAUUUAUUACCAUCCAUACCACAACCCACUCAAGCAAGCCUCGGGCAUUUGAGUGACUUAGGCCCACUUAAGCUUGUGGUGUGAUUGGGUGCAGAAUAAUAAUUCCUUACUUGGCGUGCUUCAAUUUUAUCGUCCUUGAAGAGGGACACGGUACUUAGUUUAGCAUAGGCUUGUAUUUUAUAAUAUUAUCUUAGUCCUUAGCAUGACAAAUUAUUUAUUUAGCAUGACAUGUAGACUAUGACUUGUAUAUGACGAGCCUUCGUGUACUCCAAUAUGUGACUUUUUUUAAUACAAUAUCAUAUUGGGCCGAAAACUUAUUUGGGCCUAACCGUGGACUUUUUUGGGCCUCAACACUCUUUUCUACCUUUCAGCUACUAACUUUGAAAGAAAAUAAAUAAAUAAAUAAAUAAUCCAAUGAUGUGCGAACUCUCCUUUGUUUACGUUAGAAAUCUUCUUCACCACUGCAGGCUAAAGCUUACAUUUUGUUUUCAAUCACGUUGCAUUACAUAUGACCAUCUCUAUAUUACUUAAAUCUCUGGCGCCCAUCCCCGUUAUGUUCUUCUUCUUCUUCUCUAAAUUGAGCAAAUGAACUUGUUGGUCCCUUUUCCCGCUAGCACUCUUUUUGUUAUACUCUGGAUCUAGCUGCUCUAGAGAGUGGGAAGGUCGUCGAGUCAACACCAAUGCCCCGAUUGGAUUUCUGGCCUGCAAGGGGAUUCUUCCAACUUCUGAACAAAAUUGAAAGUUGGAUCAGGUUGACAAGAACGGGCUGGGCCCUUAACAACUUGUUCCUUAUGUCCUGAUCAUGAAUUGCAUAGGUGUGCCACUACUGGGGAUGAGACCAGCCCAAUAGAUCUGGUAUAUGUAGUGUAGAAUAUUGACUUUUUGGAUUUACACUUAUUCUGGACUUCUGUUCUAGCCAUUGUGCUCCAGGGGAGGUACUGGCCUGGAUAGGUCUCCCCGACAUUUAGGGUUGAUCAAAGAAAUAGGAUGUCGGCUACAUUAGAGAGUGAGUCAGACAAAAUAUUGAGGGAUGGAAACAAUGCUAUUUGUCAAUGGCGGGCAAAGAGGUGCUAGUGACAGCAGUGGCUAUUGCAAUUCCAACUUAUCGCCUUAUCCCAUGUCAUGUUUCAAGCUCCUAGUUGCCUCCUGCAAAGAAAUCAAUGACGAUUUAAGAUCCAUUGGAAAGCUUGGGGUAAGCUGUGCCUUCCCAAAGAUCAAGGAUUAUGAAAAUUUGCAUGUUUUCAUAAUAAGCCAAAGUGCUUCGUAGAGAAAUAGUCUCAAACGAGAUUUUUGAAGAAAACAGUAGUGCAAUAUAUAAUGGUAAACAUAUUUAUCAACUUGCAUUAUUUUGUAAUGAUACAAACUGUUUAUUUUUCAUGUCUUCCUCAAGUACAAAAAAUCAUUCGAAUUAGAAACCAUUUGACCAAUUUUUACCAUUUGACCAUUUGACCAUUUGAUUAUAUGGUGGUCAAUGUGUUUUUGGGAAGCACCAUAUUCGAUCAUUUUCUUUGUCACAAAGAAGUCUUAAAGGUUUCAAAUUUAUCUAAGCUUUUGUAAUAAUGAUCUAUGAAUGAAGAAAUGAAAAUAGAUGGCUCAGUUGAUAGGAAACAAAGUGGAGUCCCUACUUACGCAUAAAAGAAGAACAAGAAUAAAUAAAUAAGGCCCUGUUUGGUGGGCUGGAUUGGACAUGACUUUUUCAAUUAAAAUGGAUUACAAUCCUGUCCGUUGUUUGGUGAGCUUAAAUGCACAACGGGACUGGUUUGGACUCAUAUUUUCUAUGGGAUAAUAGUCUAGCAAAUCCUAGUAUUGAAAACCUGAGGGGAACCACGGGUUUAGAAUGACAUCACCUCCUUUCUCCUUUCUCCUUCGAUCGCCUCCGCUUCCUCUCUCCUUCGUUCUUCUAUGCCCCUGCCUCCGCCUCUGCUCUUUCAAUUGUCUACGCCUUUUCCUCCUCCUCCUCGGCUAUCUGCUCUUUCAUACCCAGAAGUGUUGGAUCCCAAUCAAACAGUGAAAGGGCUAUAAAAGGUACUAACACAUUUUGGAUAGCUAGAAUCUCCGACUUGCUUCAAAUUUGCUGACUUGUCAAUAGUAUUCGCCAACUGUCAACCUGCGGGCAGUACACGUGUGUUAGUUUGUAAGAGAAUCUUUUGUUGUUUGGCGCCAAAACUCUUCCGAGUAUUGUAGACAAUGAAGACAAAUAGUAUAUUGGUUCUCUUCAAUUCAUUCUCCCUUCAUUUUGGCUUCUAUAAGAACUGUUCAUCGAAACCACCAAAAAUCCUAUACUACAAAAGUAUAGUUGUCAAGAAAUAACAAACCAAUUAAAUACUAACGUUUUCCAGUCACUACUCUUCCUAUUCUCUUUCUGCCUGCUAUUGUUUAGUUUUCAAGAAAGUUCCAAGAUGGAUCCAAGAAAGAAGGACGAGCCCUCAUUUGAAUUAUUUGAAGCUCUUGUGGAGGCUGCUGCCACCAUACAAAAGCAUGCCGAAAUAAUGGUCAUGCUACCUACCGGAGGGAUGCCCCAAAAGCACCCACACCGCAUUGAGUUUCUCCGUAAGUUCUGUAAGUCAACUUAUCCGACCGAAAAACAAGUGGCCGAGGCAGUGCUGGGCGUCACCAAUAAGGAUGAGCUCACCGAAGCACUUCUUCCCCUAAACCCUAUUGUUUAGUUUUCAAGAAGGAUCCAAGAUAGAAAGACAAUCCCUCAUUUGAAUUGUUUGAAACUCUUGUGAAGGCCGCUGCCACCAUACAUAAGCAAUUCGAAAUAAUUGUCAUGCUAUCUACCGGAGGGAUGCCCCCAAAAAACCCACACCCCAUUGAGUUUCUCCGUAAGCCCUGUAAGACAAACUUAUCCUGUCGAAAACCAGGAGGCCAAGGCGGUACUGGGCGCCACCAAUAAGGAUGAGCUCACUGAAGCACUUCUUCACCUUCUCACACGCAUUAAGAACCUAGGCCGGGAAGUAGAGAGUUACUCCAUGUGAUAGUCACUAGGCUGUGGCCAGCUCUACAACCAUCUCGCCGCCUGGAGUAUCAAAACUCGUUUCUUCAAACCUUUAAUUCGCAGCGGUCGUCUCCAUUCUUGGAGGAAUUGAAGGAUGAUAUCGUUAGUUACAAGGAUUGACGCAUGGCCGCAACUUCUGACAGUGACAAAGGUAGGAUUUCACGUGUGUUGGGGCCUCUUACAAAUUAUAAAGAAUCAAAAGUUCGAACUCACAAUACAUACAAAAAAUAGUAUAUAUAUAUAUAUAUCACAUAUGUCAAUAAUUAUAUUGCUUAUUGGUUGCAAUCAUAAUUGUCCUCGACAAAGGGAUAGACAAAUACAUUUUAAGCAAGAAAAAUUGUAAGAGAUAGAUAAAGAGUAGCGAUUUAGCAAAUAUCUUUAAAGCUUUUUCCCCCAUUAAACCCAAUAGAAAGAAAAAAUCAAAAUUUCACAAACUAAAAAAAACCUUAGGUCCCUUCAUGCAUUUAUAUCAUACAUGAAAAAAUGUUUUAUGUAAAAAUAUUGACUAAAUAUGAAAAAUGGUUUUUUCGAAAUAAUCGUUUUUUCAAGAUAAUUUUUGGCGGCUUUUAUUCCUUACACAUCAAAUAAGAAAUUUUGAUUUUAUGGGAUUUUAGUAUAAAGUAUAUAUUGACUUAAUGAACCAUCAUUUUUAGCCUACAUCGUAUUUUGCAUUAAAAUCGAUUUUUCAUAUUUUGAUUUGGUGGGAAUUUGAUUUUCUAGUAUUUUUAUUUGAAUCCAAAUAUAGAGUACUUCUUUAUUUACAUUGUAAACUUAAGUAAAUGGAGUAAUAUAAAAAUAAAUGAAAGUAAAAGGACAAAGACAUUUACUUAAAUGCUAAAAAUAAAAAUAAGGUAAUUCGUACACUUGGAGUGCACCAUCACCAACUGAGCAACGGGCAACUUUAAGCACCCUUAAUAAAUUCGCUACAACACAUGUGGGUACAUAUCAAAACAUAAAAUAUUUAAAAUAAUAUACAUAUAAAAAUACAUAAUAAUAUAUUACUUUUUAAAUAUAAAAAAAUUUGACUGGGGGCACGGGACCACACUGGUCCCAGUGUGGCUCCACCCUGACUUCUGACACCGCUCCAUGAUGACUUCUUCCUAAAGCCAAAAUAGGACAAGCGUCUUUUGUUUGGGCUCAUUUUGUUCUCAAGAGUGUGCCCAUCGCGUUAAAGAAGAGAUCCAUGGAAGGGCAGAUGAUAUUCUUGAGACUCUAAUAAAGUUAAUGGGCCAGGAUGUGAACUUGGGCCCGAAGACUGAGAUGGCGAGGGCAUGCGUUCUUUUAAUGUUUCAAGUUCACUUUGUUUUAGGCGAUAGGAAGGUGAGGAAUGCUACAAAGCUUAAACAAGCAGUGGAACUCAUGGUGUCGAUCAUCUUUAGGAAAUUAGCAGCCGAUGCAAGCGGAGAGAAAUUUUCGGAUGACGACUUUUUUAGACAAGACCCAAGACUAUAGCCCAAUUCGUGACCGUGAGAAACCCGCAGGAAUGGACAAUGAUACUAUUAGGAUUGUACAGAGCCUCGCGUUUUCCCUAAGAGGUGCGAGGUUUCUCAUUCACAUGUACCUAAAGGGGUCGUUUGGUAUGGCGGACUGUCAUGGACUGGACUAAAUCCUGAGACUGUCUUGGAUUAGCUUGGAUUGGCCUAAGCUGGAUUAAGUACUAGCCUGCGUUUGGUGAUGCGUCGGACUAAGAAGCUGGAUUGUAAAAAUAGUGAAAACCUAUGUUUGGUACUGUGUUGGACUAAAAAAAUUAUUUAAAUAUUUAAAAUUAAUUUGGGAUUUUGACCUAAAACUAAAUAAAUACUACAAAGAAACCAAUGAGAUAUGUAUAAUUUAUUAUAUAAAAAAAAUUUUAAAAUAUUUUUUAAUAACAAACUAUCUUUAUCUUUUAUCUUUUAUCUUUUUUCUAUUUUUUCUUUCUUUCUUCCUUUUCUCUCCUUCUCUUUUCUUCUUCCUUCCCAGCCCUGUUUCUUUUUUCUCUUUUCUUUCUCCCUCCCGAUCUCUCUCCAGUCCUCUCUCUUUUUUUCUCCAAUAUUGACACAACAUUGGUGUCCCUUUUUUUUUUUUUUUUAAUAUUCCCCUCCCAAACCUUUCUCUGCUUCCCUCUCAUUUUCUCUCUAUUCUUCCCCCUUCUUCCCCCCGCCCCCCCUUCCUUUUUUUGUUGUUGUUGUUACAGAGGGGGUAAACGCCCCAAAACAAAAACUAUUAAAUAUGACAAGGGGAGGUCUAGCAGGACCUUGAGCAUCAACAUCUAAAAUGGCUCUAAGGAAGGCAGGAGUUUCUUCAAAAACAUCGAGGCCAUGAUUAAACUUGUGAUUGGCAGCCAAGGUCUCUUGUUCCCUUUGAAGUCACAGAUCCUCAUCUUCUUCGAAGUCACAAAUCUCCAUUUGGUUUCACUGAGCCACGGUCAAUGGUUGGUAAUUUUUCGAAAGGUUCAAUUGGGUUGUGGUUCCACUGGGUUUGAUUUGAUGGUGGUUGAUUCAAGUGGUUGAGUUUGAAUUGGUGGUGGUUGGUUGGUGUGACUGGGUUUAUGGUGGUGAUAAUUCUAGUUGAAGAAGACGAAGAAAUUGAUUCUUGAAGCUUGGAUAUGGAUUUGGUCUUGCGAUUGGAUUAGUCGGACUUGCGCGUCAAAAUAGCACGCUCGCUAUUUUGCGAACUACAUUUCAGCCUCUCUGUAUAAGGAGAGCGAGUGAGGAGGUUUUUUAACUGUUGGACUCCACAAUCCCAUUUAACUUAGUCCCCCAUUUUACCAAACAUGGGUUUCAAGGUUUAUUUAGCAUAGUCCAGUCUAGUGAGGCAUACCAAACACACCCAAAGUUGAUUGGACAAGUCAAUUCUGAUGACGUAGACAUGCAGAGGCGGCCUUGGGCCAGGGCUACAGCCCGGGGCUCACAGCUGAAGGGGGCCCAAUAUUUUUUUUUUUAAAGCCUAUGUAUAUAUGUGUAUUAAAAAAAAUUAAUUAAACAGAAGAUAGUUGCUGCCUGUGCGUGUAUACCAAAAAGGAAGCCAAUCAAUCAGUCAUUAUAUUCUCAAUCUCAAGAAGAAACUUAAUGAGGAAGAAAAGUCUCUUAUUAAUUAUACAAUAUAAUAUAAAACAAAUAAACAAAAUAUGGGAAAAUCAAAACCAACUUUCUUAGCCACAAAAAGAAGAGGAAAAACAUUUUGACCUACUCUGCUUCUUAGAAGUUCAACGCAAGCAAUUUUUUUUUUUUUUUUUUUGUGAUUCUCGUCUUCUCCAACACACAUAGAGUUGGAUUCCACAAGCUAGACCAGUGCCUUUUUUGAAGGUAAUUUUUUUUUUUUAAUAGAUACAUAUAAAUUCUAGAUGUAUAAAUUUUGUAAAUUGUAAUACAUAUCUUUAUUAACUUUUUCAUCUUUAUUAUUUGAUUCAACAGAAAACUUGGUUGGGAUUCUUGUUCUUUAUAAUUGGAAGUUUCAAGUUGAAGAAAAUAUGCUCAAAAUCCAGGUGGAUAUGUUUCAUAAUGUAAUGAUUGCUUAUAGGGUAUUAUUGACUAUACCUGUGACUGUGGCAUUUGCUGAAAGAAGUUUUUCUAAAUUAAAAUUAUUGAAAUCUUAGUUGCGGACCAACAUGACUCAAGAUAGGCUAAAUGGAUUAGCAAUAUUAUGCAUUGAAAAUGAUAUGUUAGAAAACAUUAAAUAUGAUAGUAUAAUUGAUGAUUUUGUAUCUAAAAGUGCAACAAGAAGACAUUUUAAAUGAUGUUUUGUGUGGUUGAGAUUUCAUUGCUAUUUUUAUUUUGUAGGUACAUGUGAUGAUUGUUUGCUUCGAUUAAUUGUGGAGGAUGAAAAGAAAAUUGAUCAAAUCAAGAAAUGCUUACAGAGAUUGGGGAGGAAGUAUGUAGACUCAAAUAUGUAGUUUUUGUUUUUUAAUGCAAUAUUUACAAUGCACCCCUUUUUUUCCUUCGUUUGGGAUUUUGUCUCAUUGGAUUUUCCCCAAACAAAGUUUUAAUGAGGCCCCAAAGGGUUCUUCCUUAUCUUUUAUAAAUUUUUAUCAUUUUAAUUAAUUAGUUUUUUUUUUUUUUUGUUUAAUUUGUAUAAAGGGGCACACUUGAGAAAAUUUGCCCUGGGCCUUAGAAAACCCAGGCUCUGUAGACAUGCCUUCUAUAUUCUACUGGUAGCGUCAUAUUUUAGUCAUAUUUCAGUUUGUGUAGCAUGCAAGUAAAAGUUGUUUUGCAGGUAUGGACGAAUUUGCGCAUGCCUAAGGGAAAGCAGUUUCUCAUUCCUAUCUGCGGUUAUCCUAAGCCUAAUUAAAAAAGCCACAGAAAGUGUAGGAUUGAGGUUGAUGAAAAUCCAGGCUUAGUAUCAAAAACAGAUAAUGAGAAAAAGAAUAAGAAGAAGUCAUUGAAUAAGGUAUAUAUCCAUGUAGGCUCCUAGCUUGCACUGUGCUCCAAAGUCUUGUGGACAUAACCGGUAAAAGAGUUGUGGGGAGAAGAAAUCAAUGGGGGCUUGUACAUCACACUGUUAAUCUUUUUGCCGAAUGGGUGCUGAACCAGUUUAUUUUUUUCUUCUUCAAUUUUCUUUUUUGUUGCGUAGAUGAGAUGGUUGAAAAGUCUAACAACAGCUGAUAUUGUGAAUUUUAGACAACCUACAAAAUGGUAAUUAUAAAGAUUAGUCUAAACACAAAUUAUACUCGUAAGUGCACAAGGUCAAUCGUAAUUUAGUAUGGUAAAUACGAGGUCAUUCUCACGAGGAUUGAGUUCAACUUCCAAUUAGUCUAACCUAAUUUACUUCACAAAAUACUUUAACUAUUCUAAUUAUAUAAACAAGAAAUUAAACACGUAAACACAAAAGGGUUUUUUGAAUGAGUGAUUUAAUUAACAACGAAAUCAAAAGAAAAAACAAGUAGAAAGCCAUGAAACACAAAGAUGAGAAAUUCAAAUUGAUAAAAGCACUAGGACAUUGAAUUCACCACUAGUAAUCCGAUCUAGCCUCUUAUUCACCUACCUGUUAACUAACCAUUUGAUGUCGCCGCUUAGUUUUCCUUUUUCAUGAAUUACCUAUGGUAUUUAGGCUAACUCGUAUAUUCUUAAAUGCAAUUCGCCUAUGGUAUUUAGGUCAAAUAUCAACACGUAGAAACUCAUUAAGAUCAGUGAAAACCUCCAACAAGCAUGUAAAAAUCCUAGAAUUAUGAUAUUUACCCUAGACGAAUUAUAGAUCUUAAUCACAAGAAGCAAGCCUCAAAUUAAGUAUGGUAUUUACUCUAAUUUGCAUCCAAUUAACUCAAUUAAAAGUCUAGAUGGUGAUCAAGCAUCAAGAUAAUCAACCAAGUUAUUAAGCACAGUGAUUAAGAAUCCAACAUCAAACGGCAAUCAAUAGAUAGGUAAAAUAAGAAAACUAGAUUAUCAUACUAGGGCUACAUCAUGCCCUAUCAAAAGAAAAUUAGUUACACAUAAUCAUAGAAUUCGGCAUAAGCAAAAACAUAAUAAAAUAAUAAUAAAAACUUAGCCAAUUGCGGUACUCUCCCGGCGUCUCCAAUUUCUCCAAGUCUUUACGUAACCCAAAGGAGUUGUUUCUCAUGCUUAAACAAAACACCACACGUCUAUUCCUAACCUAGCUGGGCUUUUACAGCAGCCCCAAAAAUAAAGAAAAACCUAAUUAAAACAUAAAUCCAAAAAGGGUAAGUAAUUGACUCCUCUACCUACUUUGACUGGGAUAACACAUCAGUUUCUUUGCAAGCACGUUUGAAGUCAUUUCUCCUCCAAGAAAAUUUCGGAAAAAAUAUUUAAAUUGUAGAUCUUUGUCUUAUCUUUCCAACCAUAUAUCGCACGCUGUGAGAAAAAAAACACGAAGACCUUCAAAUUUCCUUUUUCACACAGUAACUCAAAUCUAACGGAAUUGCACUUAUGCUGACUUGAGCUCAAAGAGCACUCUCAUUGGUUGCUCCAAAAAUUCUAGAAACAUUCCAAAAUUAUCUUCAGGGUCUUACCUUCAAUAUCCAACUGGCCUUACACAAAAACUCUACCAAAAGUCAUAUUUUGUUGGUAAUCAAUUAGCUGCUCAGUUAAGCUGAAAAUGAAGAAAAUAAAGAAAAUAAAGAAAAUAAAGAAAAUAAAGAAAAUAAAGUAAUAAGUCCUUUUUAAAUCUAAUUCUCCUACAAAAACUAAGUAUAAAUAGUACAUAAUGUGUAAAUUUAUGGGCUUAUCAGCUGACACCAAGGAACGAGUUCUAGUGCUUUGGAUGCUAUCAAAGUGAAGCUUUCUCUUAGGGCAUUAAGGUGUGCAGAAUUUUGGAAAGAGCAACCGAAGUUGGGAUAAGAGCACAAACACAAUCUACUGUCUUCAGUCAAGGUUUAAGAAUUGAAAUUGGAACCUUUGAUUCAAUCAAAAGGGGACUUACAAUUCAUUUGAAGUGUACGAUGUACUUAUAAAAUUGUUACAAUUUAUUUUUCAUCGAGGUCAUGUUGUCUAUUCUUAGAAUUUAAUUUCGAACCUCUGGUUCAAUCAAAAGGGAUUUACAAUUCAUUUGAAGUAUACCAUGUAAUGCUUAGAAAAAUGUUGUUCAUGUCCAAACCAGGAAUCAACUUAGAAUGAUGAAGUAUGAAAUCUUCAGCAAGGAUUGAAUGGUGAGGACCUUUGGUAAGGAUGCCUUCAGCAGCUAGAUCAACUUGUAGAGGGAAACGAGACAAGCAUUUAUCAAGCUUCAGGCACCGGUGUUGUAAGGGUAAGGGUCCAAAGUCAGCAAGUAUGAGGUAAGUGGUAAUUUUGGCACAGAAAGGGUCAAAAGUAGUUACCUUUUUACCUUAGCACUAUUCCCCUUUCAUAGAAAAAGGGAAGUGGAUGUUUGCCCAAUUAAGAUGUGGGACUUUGGGCAAAUCAUUGUGGUAGUGAUACGUGUCCCAAGGUCUAGGUUCUGUAGGCUUGCCUUUCAAUAGUAUGUUGCCCUAUUAGAGAAAGAUGUAUCUUCAGUACCUUCAGUUGUGAUGACAUCAUCAAUACUCUAAGUUAGAGCAUUUCUUGGGUUGUCUCCUUUUGGUAGUUUGUGGGUCUGUCUCUGUACCAGUCCCCCAAUACCGAAUGUGCUUGGUUGAUUAUGGUACAAAUAGUAGUCCCUUAAGUUGCAGAUUGAGAAGUGGCUUUUGGGUUGGAAACUUGUAAAAUGUCAUAUAAUCUUACCGAGUGGUUCGGCAUGCCAGAGGUAGUCCUAAGUCCCCCAAGUUUGCAAUCUAGAAGUUACUUUGGCAUGGAGGUAACUGGAGGUGAAUUAAGACAUAGAGUGCUAGUCGCGCAAUAGAGUCUUCUACAAGAUUAGCAUGCGUCUUCCCGAUCACACGUCUUGUAAAUCAGUUAGGAGACUACGCGCAUCUCGCACAAGAGUGUCCUACACGAUCGACAUGCAUCGUGCCGAGAGUGUCUCCUACACAAUCAACAUACAUCUUGCCAAUACGUAGGGAGACUAAGCGCAAGUCGUGCUAAUGUUGAAAAAGUUCAAAGGUUGGUAAUCAAAUGCAUGCCACGUGGCGGAAAUAGUUUGAAUAAUCAGAUCGUAAUGAAGGUCAUUAGUGCUGGAAACGAAGCAUCAUUACAAGUAGUUGAGUUGCAAUGAUGUGCAUUGGCUCAAGAAUUGAGAUGUCGGUAUAUAUGCCACAAGGGUAUAAAGUCCUUGCCUAGGGUAGAGAUAGAACAUUUAGCAUUGGAGAGAAAUUUGAGAGGGUUGGUGUACCAAAUUUAAGGGUGACAAAGAUGAGGGUACCGAUUUUGAGUUCCUUAUAGAAGAUCCUAUAGAAGACAAUAGGAUAAUAGUCUAUGAUGGAGGAAUAAGUCAACAAUCGGUAAACUCGGGUGAAGCCAGGCAUGAAGCAAUGCAAGUUGAGUUUGCCAAUGAUAUGUUCAUAAUUUCACAUGAUUUUAUAUCCUAUUUACUUAGUUUUGUGAAUUAAUUUGGAUUAAAGAUGCUGAUUUUAGUUAUUUUCUGGUUUUUCAGUUUAUAAGUCGUGAAAUGUAUAAAUUCGUCAAAUAUUCCUCAUAAUAUAGUUUGACAUGAUUCCAAUUAGAAAUGGAAGAUAGCAUCUUGAAGUUUGUCCAUGAAUAUUUCAUAAUUUUUUAAGACUGCUAAGGUGCCCAUUUUUAAUUAGACAACUCAGCCUAAACCAAUUCCCGGAGAAUACUAAAUCAGCAGGGGUAAUUUGGCCAUAACUCACUCAUACGACAUUGGAUUGAGGCACACGACAUAUGGCUGAAAAGAAAACAUCCGAAGAUUUCCAAAGAGUGGUCAUACGUAAUUUUCGGAGGUCAUGAAGGUAUUCAAAUCGCAUUCGCUAAGAGGAUCACGUGCAGUUUCCUGGAAGUUUUAGAAAAUUUAGUUUUGAUUACCUUUUCUAGUUAGAAAUAGACUUGGAAAUCAAGUCUUCGUGUAAGGCCACUUGUUUAGGCCCAUUCUAACUAGGUUUUAGGUUCUUUUUAGAGGGGAGGUUGGGGGGGGGGCUCAAAGAGGAUAUAUCAGAAAUUUCAGAAUUCAACCGUGGAGCAAGGAAGAGCGACCUUGCCUCUAUACUCUAAGGGUUUUUCUUAUCUCUUUCUCCAUGUUUUAUUUUUGCUUUGUUACCAUGAUUAUGAGUAACUAAUUUUCUUUUACUAAGACACAAUGUAACCCUUUUCUAAUUAUUCAAAGCUUAGUUAUGUCAUGCUAUUAGACUUUCCAUGUUGUUGAAAUUUAAUCACUGUACUUAUUUUCUUAACUAAUGAUCUUGACGCUUAGCUACCAUCUAGAUUUUUGGUUAAGUAAUUUAAUGCAUGUUAGGGUAUACGCCAUGCCUAAUAUGAGUUUUGCUUCUUGUGAUUAAAUUCAUAAAUGCGCCUAAGGUAAAUACCAUACUCUUAGGGGUUUGGGUGAUUGUGUGAAGUUCUCAUUGAACCUAAGGUCUUUUUAUAUGUUUAUAUUUAUGCCUCACGCCAAGGAUAAAUUGUGUGUAAGAAGAAGUGGUUAAUUGCUGUGAAAAGAGUUAAUCAUAAUUUUGGAUAACUAAUCAUCAACAUAACUUGGAAAUUUUGAUAGCAUGCAUGCUACGGUUUGAAAUUGGUACACAGGUGACGAGGGGUGAAUUUAAAUGCUAUUCAAGUAGUCAUAGUGAUCUUCACACACUUUAAUCAUUGACCAAAUAUACUUAUAACUAGUCAACUGCUAGUCAUGAGAAACCAUAACGAAGAACACACACACAGAGCAUAACAAUCUAUACCUGCAAGCCUAGAAGAUUAUUAGUAACAACCUAGACACUCAGAAGGACCCGUCAAUCUAGACAUCCCUUGUGCUAGCAACAACUAUGGUGAAAGUGCGUGAAAAUAUCAUACAACAGAUAGUGAUGACUAGUCAACUGCAAGAACACAAACCCAGAAAUGCAUGAUCAUCAUGCGAUGACCAGUCAACUAUCAAGAACAUAAACCCAUAAAAUAACAAAGCUGCAAACCAGAAAUUGUUCACCCAGAAACCCACCAUUGGGCAAAACUGGGGGUCAUCAACCGACCAAACAAUUCACUAAGUAAAGAAGAUUCUUACCAAGGAAAACAAGUAAACUCAAGAAAUCCUAGAUCUAUUUAGGAAGAUAAGCUAUACCUCCUUUGUGCAAUCUUCUUCUCCAACUUAGCAAAACCAGCAGCUUAGUCCUUCAUGGCAAUGACAGCUCCUUCUUCAACUCUUUCAUCCCAUGGCACCAACUAGCCAGCUUAAACUCAUACAGAAACCAAAAAUUUGGAUUCAAAGGAAAAUGAUCAAUUUCUUCAAGAAACCAUACUCUUGACUUGAAUCUGACCUAGAUAUAUAUGAGAGAGUGUUUGAUAUAGCAAGAUGAGGUUUUCAUAUUUCAGAUGCAGUUUUCAAAAAAUCAAUUUGGAAAACUCAAAGAUGAAAAAUAUGAAGGUUCACUCUUGAGGAAGAAGAAGAGAAAGUUUUCUAAGAAGCUUUCCAAAACUCACCCACAAAAUAGACGGCUGCCAAAUGAGAAAUUCUUUGACUUUUACCCAAAAAUUCCUAGGUCAGAAUAGUACACAUGACAGUUGAGAAUUUCGCAGAAAAUGACGAAAAGAUGAUUAGGACCCAGCUGGAAACGGUGAGAUGGAAAUCCUAAUUGAAACAAAGGUUGACUAGUCAUACAAAGAAAAGAUGACUAGUCACAAUCUUCAUAAAUUUAGUGAAUGCAAUGUAGUGCAAUGCAAAGUUUACCUUUGUCAAAACACAUUGUUGUCCAUCAGAAUGUAGCUAGAUAAGAACACCUAGAGAAGUAAUUCUUAAUCUAAACUUAGAGCAAUGAUUGUCCUUUUACAAAAUUGUCAAGGGAAGCCAAAAGAAAAUUACAAAAUGCAUACACUUACAAGGUUUGUAUAAGAGGAAUUGUGGUGAAAUUGUUGUCUUGGCAAACUUCUUUAAAGUCUUUCACAAACUUAUUUAGUUCACGUUUUUCUUCGUUAUCUUGUCUUUUAACUUUCUUGUUUUCAACGUUCUUUUAAAUAAAAUCUUUCAAAACUCCUUUAUUAAGUUUUAGUUGAGUAGUUUUUAAUAUAACCGUCUUACGCCUUUAAAUUAUAUAAAUAAGUUCUUUGUAAGGGGUUUAUAGCUCAAAUGAUUAAAAAUAGUUAUCCCUACAUCCGAGAUCAUGUGUUCGAAUUCCCCUCCUUCAAUAUCACUUACCAAAUGUAUUCCCUUUCUGACUCUUGUUCUUUGUGUUCGCCGAGUUGGCCUUUUUUGUGACAUCUAAUCAUUCUUCGCGUAGGGCAUGUGGGGCUUAUUGCAGAGUUGGUUGAACUUGAGACUUGAGAGUGCCUUUUGGUUUUGGUUUUGGUUCUCAUUCAUCUGUUAGACGUUUUGAAGAGCACGCAAAUUAGCUCUGGCUCUGGGGCUUUCUGCUACAAGUAUUAUUGGGUCGAUUUCUGUGACAAAAAUAAGUGGACUAAAACUAAUAAUAAGGCUUAAUUAGAAGAGUUAUUUUCACAAAAGAGGAGAUAGCUUAAUUAGAAGAGUUAAAACUAUGCCAUAAUCCUUUAUAUCAUGCCACCAUAUCACGCAGUUGACAAAGAGUUAUACAUGGAUAUUGGGUGAUAGAGUUAUAGCUUAUGGUGAUUUGAAAGCUUGUUUUUUUGUUCAUUUGUAAAAAAAUAUUUGGGGGGGGGGGGGGGGGGGGGGUUGGGGUUUUGUUGGUGUUGGGGUUUGGGGGUUGGUGUUCUCUAAAAGGGAAUUGCAAAGCCAAAGAAAUUAAAACAAAUAAAAAAACAAAUCUCUAGAACUGUGGGAAUUGAAAAGCAAAGAAAAACCAAAUCAUGAAGUCCAUUUUUUUCUAUUACAAAGUUUGGGGAGGAUUCGAGAACUUGGUUGGUAGAGCUUUGAAAAUCCCCUUUUUGUCAACAAUUGUUGUGCAUUCGAAGAUUGUCUUGUUGGAAAAUGGUUGUUGGGUCUUGAGUUGUCUUUUUUCUUAACCUUGGCUCUUUCAUUAUGUUCAUUCUUUUUCUUAAUGAAAAAUUUUAUACCCAGAUUGAACUCUUUUAUUUUCUUAUUAGCUUUCUCUGCACUUUGUUGGAAAAAAUCCCCAGUUCCAAACUUCUGUUGGAAAAAAUCCAAAGUUCUACAACAAUUGAAUUUGAUUCUUUGAGCAACCGAUAUGUCUUUUGGUUGAGAAGGGAAAAAAUCAACCAAAAUGUCUCAGUUGAAAAGAUACAAACCAACCAAUACGUCGUCUUUCGGUUGAAAUGGUACAUACCAACUGAUAUGUCUUUAAUUGGUACAUUAUUCUGACUUAAUUAAAUGUAUUAUUCUUUCAACAUACUUGAUUAGUUGCACACUUUCAGAUAAAUUGAAUGGAUGUCUUUUGCUCUAUAUUUAUUUACUGUUGUUAACAGAACAAUAUGUCAAAAACUAAUUCAAAAACAGUUUACUACUCUCUUCUUCCCUACAACCAUACAAUUUUCUUAUAGUAAUUUCUAAGGGAAUUCUUCGAAUUUUUGCUAUUCGUUGAUUUCAGACUUUGUUGUAUUCUGAAAAAUGAUUUGCCAAGAAUCCAUUAGCUUACUCAGACUUUGUUGUAUUCUGAAAAAUGAUUUGCUAAGAAUCCAUUAGCAAACUCAGUUAAGUGGGGCAAAUAAAACUUUAAUUAAGGAGACUCUUCAAAUUGAGUCCUUCUACAUAUUUUUUUUUUUUUGGUUACAACCUUCUACAUAUUUAAUUUCUUACUCAACAACUUCCCUACUUUAUUUAAAGAACUUGGAGAAGGAAAAAAAAAAGGGCAGUCCAAACAGUUGAGAGGAUAGGUUCUUUUUCUCAUUAAAACUGCUAGAAGUACAAUUACAACCAAAAUUAUAUUAUAUAUUAUGUAUUGGGUGAGUAGCCUCUUGCCAGCAGAAAAAAAGUAGAUAUGGUACUUAUGAAUCCUUCUCAACAAAUAGGCUAAGCUACAAGCCUAAAUUUUCCCAUUUAAGGUCAAACAAUCCUUAACCCAAUAAAUGGGCUCUACUAUUUGGACCUGGUCAUUCUUAGCUCCAUUGUUGUCUCUAACCGAAUAAAGUAAGUUUUAGUAUUAUUAUUAUUAUUAUUUUAAAUUUUAUUCUUUAAAUUUUACGGGUCUAUCUCAGUGAAAAAUGGCUUUAAUUUGCAUAUCAGUGAUCUCCACGUGCUUUUAUUUGGCAUUGCGACUACUCUGUACUUUUUUAUGUGUUAUCAAUAAAAUUACUAUCGCUUUUUAUCAAAAAAAAAAAAAAAAACUCCUCUUAACCACUUGAGCUACAAGUGCAAUGCAGUUUAAAAUAUCAACACAAAAUUUAGGAGAACGGGAAGUGGAAGGUGAAUGGGAAGAAGAAAUGAAGGGAUAUAUUUUGGGAAUAAUGGGGAUGAGAUGAGUAGAUUUUUAUUUUAUUUUAUUUUUUAACAAAUGUAUGAGAGUUUACCCCUGCACCUCAGUUCAAUUUUCCCUUCCCUAAUAUCUCAGUAUUUGAGUCUUUAAACUUUCAAAUAAAUCAAUGUGGUUCUUAAUCUUUUGAUCCACACACAAAUAUUUGGUCCUUCUCAUCACAUUUGUCAAAAUCUUUGUUAAAUUUAUUCACUUAACCAACUUUGAAGGGGUAUUUUCAUUCAAAUACAACUUAUCCACCAACAACUCAAAGUAAUUCUCACAUAUUUUACUCAAUAAGGCUAUAUGUUCUCCUUGAUGGACUCUAGUGUAAAAUCUUAAUUGGUAAGAUAUAGCCUAUUGAUCAAAAAUGUGAGUAUUAGGACUGAAAUGAACUACAAUUAGAUGACAAUAUCCCUUUAAAGUGGCUCAUGCGAUGACACACAAUUAGUUUUUAUUGAAAAUUUUGUCGGAAUGCAAUAACAAAAAUUAAAUUGAUGUGUUGACCCAAAGAUGAAGCACCAUAUUGAUUGAUUUGAGAGUUUGAAGACUAAAAUGAAGAUUUUAAAAAAGUUUAGAGACUAGUUGUGAUCAAAACCAAAAGAAAUGUGGGAGUGUACAGAUAAGGGGGGGUGGGUAAAAAGAAAAAGGGUGUUUAAAUUAUUUUCUAAAAUUGAUCAAAAUGUCAUUGAGAUGAUGAUUGAUUGGUUGUGUACUCUUAUAAAUAAAAGAUUAUAACCAAACUCAAACGUAAGAAUUCAUAAACCACUCGUUUAAAACCCCACCAAUAACACCAAUUAAAAUAUCAUUAUUCUACAACGAAAAGAAAAAACUAGAAAGUCAUGUGACAUUUUCUCUUCCACUUGUUAGACAAAGCAAUUGUUAAAGCUCAGACCAAAACACAAAAAAAAAAAAAAAAAAGCAAUUGUUAAAGCCUUACAUAUCUUUAUCUUUUUACUCAACUAUUUUAUUUUACCGGCGGUAGGUGAGUCUGGUAGGCUCUUCUCCUCCUUAUAAAGCCGCACUAGCAGCUAUUCCAUCACAAAACACAAACUUCAAACUUUCUCUCUUUGUCUCUAUUUGAUCUCUUCCAAUCCCACCAACCAAAAGAGCAAAACAAAAAAUCAUUCCCAAAAACCAAGCUAAGUAUUAAGAUGCCUGCCGAUAGUUCUUCAGUUUCAGGCCAUGGCCAAACUGUUUGUGUAACCGGAGCUGGAGGCUUCAUUGCUUCCUGGAUUGUCAAACUAUUGCUAGAAAGAGGCUACACUGUUAGGGGAACCUUGAGAAACCCAGGUCAGUCCAAAUCAUUAUCUUCUUGGCCUAUGAGUUGUUUGUUUUGUCCUACAUUCGGGUAUCGACAUGUUAUGCAGUGAGACUGUGAAUUAGAACAAUUCAUUUAAAUUAUAUCUGAAUUUGCGGUUCUUAUUCACAGUUUAACAAGGUAACACGUAACAUAUAUGGGGAUACAUAAUUCUUCCCUGUAUAGAUAUGUUUUUUUCCAUUUUGGUGCUUUUCUUAUUUUGGGUUGAUCACAGAUGACCCAAAGAAUGCUCAUUUGAGGGAGCUUGAGGGAGCUCAAGAGAGGUUAAGUUUGCGUAAAGCUGAUCUUCUUGACUAUGAGAGCCUCAAAGAAGCCAUCAACGGCUGUGAUGGCGUUUUUCACACAGCAUCACCUGUUACGGAUGACCCAGUGAGUUUUUUUUUGUCUCUGUUUCCUUACUUUGUUUCUUCCUUUUCCUGUUUGGUUGCCCAGAAAAUGCCGGAAAAUAUGCACACUUUUUCUCUUUAGUCUUUACCAACCCACUAUAACAAACCAUGGGUUCCUAAGAUUCCAAAUCGAUCUGUUUGUCAAUUGUGAUGUUUGUGGACCUCCAAAAAUUGUUCUCUGAGUCCCAUAAUACCCAAUAAAUAUUAUUACUAUUUAAAUGGGAAAAAAACAAAAGAUAAGAAGGAAUACUUUGGUAACGGAUAAUGAUUUUGGUGCCAGACGAUACUUUGGUGAAGAAUAUUUUUCCUUUUCAUAUUUUCCAAAGCAACUUUUAAAUUCAUGUCUCACUUUAUAACGCUUAUAAGAAAGUUAUAGUGACUUAUUUUUUCAUACUAUACAAUAAUUUCUUUAAAUAUAACUCGUACCAAAAUUCCUGAAAGAAAAAUUCAAUUGUAAUUUAACUCAAAAUAAAAUUCGCUCAUGAUUUUCUACUAUAACAUCUCAUCUCUAUGCUAUUAAAAUAUUUUGAAGGGAUUGUUUUGUUUUUUUUUUAAUUGACAUUUCUUUAAUAAGGCAAUGAAUGAUGUGUGUAUAGGAACAAAUGGUGGAGCCCGCGGUGAAUGGAACAAAGAAUGUGAUUGUUGCGGCAGCAGAAGCUAAGGUUAAACGGGUGGUGUUCACGUCGUCAAUCGGUGCGGUGUACAUGGACCCCACCAGGGGCCCUGAUGUGGUGGUCGAUGAAUCUUGUUGGAGUGAUCUUGAAUUCUGCAAGAACACCAAGGUUAGGACAUAAUAUUAUUUAUUUUAUUAUUUUAUUAUUUUAUCUCUCCAAUUUAUAUAGUAUGAUGACUCAUGAUGCACACAAAAUUACAUCAAUUGUUUGAUAUGUUUAUCACUCAGUGUCUCAUAAUUAAAUAGAAUUGUUAUUUUAUGCAAGAUUUAGUGUAAACUAUUUUAAAUUAAUUUAAUAUUAUAAAGAGGGGACUUGAAUUUAGGUGAAAGGAGACAAGCUCAAUGCUCUCACCAACUCGCCUAAUUCAUGUCCGCCAUAAUUAAUAACAAUUGUUUUGUCUAGUAAUUAAUUAGAGAAUGAAUCGAUGGAUGUUAUCUCCAAUCAUGGUCUAUUUUUUUAAGUUAAAUUUCAAUUGGAAUAACUAUAAAGUUAUUUUAGGAGCUCUAUAUAAAAUUUAUAUUCUAAUUAUUAUUGAAAAUAAUUUUAAAAAAAUUAUAGAAUAUGUAGUACAAGUUAAAAGAGGGAUUUACUAUUAUGCCCAAUAUAAGGGCUCAAAAUAUAAAAAAUAAAAACCUAUAUUAAAUGAAUUUUAGAAAUACAACCAAAGCCCAUUUUCAAUAUAACAAAAAUGCUUCGAACUUCCUAUAAAUUACAAAACUGCUAUAAAUUUCUUAAAACAAGCUCAACCCCAAAACCUCAUUAAAAAAAACCCAAAACAUAUGGCAUCAAAGUAAUUUAAUAAUCAAAAUUAAAGUCAACAGGGCAGUUGUCGUUUUUUGAUUUUUUUUUUUUUUUUUGGUUUGUUUGCGGAAAUUAAAUGGUGUAUGGUUUAUUUAUAUCACUAUUUCUAAGAAUGAGUAUGUAACUAAAUAUUUAAAGUUAAAAACACUUUAAAUGAGAUGAUAACAUUUUAAAUCAAUACAACACCAUAUAGGUAAUAGGUGUGAUCCAAUAUAUAUAUGAUUGGAAAGAGAAAAUUGUUUGUUAAAACUUAAACAUAUAUAAAGAGUUGUUAAAGGUGAUCCACAAAAGUAAAUGAAGGAAAUUUGCACAUACAUUGUGAUGAAAAGUUGAAAACGACCAAUUAAAACUUGGUUGUUAACAUGUAAUGACUAAUGACAAGCCCUACCUAGCUAACAUCCCAGAGUAACCUAUUCAGUUGACCUUUAGUUCAAUUUAUCAAUCAAAGAUGAAAUCACCGAAAACAAUUAGAACCUAUUUCACAGAAGAUCAAAUAGUCUUUGAAAUCCAAAUAAAAAUGAUCAAAAUCUAGUUUGUGUUUUGCAAAUUAUAAUUAACAAUGAAUCUGACAAAUAUAAAAUCAUAUAUAUUCAGAACUGGUACUGCUAUGGGAAAGCAGUGGCAGAGCAGGCAGCAUGGGAAGAGGCCAAGGCGAAAGGGGUGGAUUUGGUGGUGGUGAACCCAGUUUUGGUGCUUGGACCACUUCUGCAACCAACCAUCAACGCCAGCAUCAUCCACGUCCUCAAGUACCUCACAGGCUCAGCCAAGACUUAUGCCAAUUCUGUGCAGGCCUAUGUGCAUGUUAGGGACGUGGCUCUGGCCCACAUUCUGGUGUAUGAAAUUCCAUCUGCCUCUGGAAGGUACCUUUGUGCUGAGAGUGUGCUUCAUCGUGGAGAUGU
Molecule: long non-coding RNA, 40693 nt
Filed under: Prunus persica (peach)
Lineage: Eukaryota; Viridiplantae; Streptophyta; Magnoliopsida; Rosales; Rosaceae
Description: long non-coding RNA (PPER_LNC003088)
Source: RNAcentral